GUGGGGAAUAUUCCGCAAUGGACGAAAGUCUGACGGAGCAACGCCGCGUGAGUGAUGAAGGUUUUCGGACUGUAAAGCUCUGUUGUUUAGGACGAAAGUGCCUGUUGCGAACAGUUACAGGUAUUGACGGUACUAAACGAGGAAGCCACGGCUAACUACGUGCCAGCAGCCGCGGUAAUACGUAGGUGGCAAGCGUUGUCCGGAAUUAUUGGGCGUAAAGAGCAUGUAGGCGGAGAUUUAAGUCUGUUGUGAAAAUGCGGGGCUCAACCCCGUAUUGCGAUGGAAACUGAAUUUCUUGAGUGCAGGAGAGGAAAGGGGAAUUCCCAGUGUAGCGGUGAAAUGCGUAGAUAUUGGGAGGAACACCAGUGGCGAAGGCGCCUUUCUGGACUGUGUCUGACGCUGAGAUGCGAAAGCCAGGGUAGCGAACGGGAUUAGAUACCCUGGUAGUCC
Molecule: ribosomal RNA, 450 nt
Filed under: uncultured bacterium
Lineage: Bacteria
Description: partial 16S ribosomal RNA
Rfam family: Bacterial small subunit ribosomal RNA
Source: RNAcentral